AUGAAUGAAAAUCAUGAACCCCAAAAACCCAACUCCAAGAAACCCCCAUUGUCCCAAAUUGGAUUUUUCUCAGAUCUCCUCCACUCCAUGAGGGAAAAAUCCAAGUCCAGCAAACCCCUGUUAUCUCCAAAUUGGAUUUUUUCAGCUCUAUUCCAUGGCAUGAAUGAAAAUUAUGAACCCCAAAAACCCAACUCCAGGAAAACUCCCACUGUCCUAAAUUGGAUUUUUCUCAGAUCUCCUCCACGGGAUGAGCAAAAAACCCAAGUCCAGGAAACCCCCAGUGUCCCAAGUUGGAUUAUUUUGGAUCUCUUCCAUGUCAUGAGCAAAAACCCCAACUCCACAAAACUCCCCUCCAUCCCAAGGUGGAUUUUUCUCGAUCUCCUCCACUCCAUGAGGGAAAAAUCCAAGUCCAGGAAACCCCCAGUGUCCCAUGUUGGAUUUUUGGAUCUUUUGUGGAUGUUGGAUUUUUUUGGAUCUCCACUCCAUGACCAAUAAUCAAAACCCCAAAAUCCCAAAUCCAGAAAACUCCCAUUGUCCUAAAUUGGAUUUUUUUCAGAUCUCCUCCAUGAGCAAAAAUCACAACCCCAAAAAGCAAAUCCAGAAAACCCCCAUUGUCCCAAGGUGAAUUUUUCUCAGAUCUCCUCCAUGGCAUGAAUGAAAAUCAUGAACCCCAAAAUCCCAACUCCAGAAAACCCCCAUUGUCCUAAAUUGGAUUUUUCUCAGAUCUCCUCCACUCCAUGAGGGAAAAACCCAAGUCCAGCAAACCCCUGUUAUCUCCAAACUGCAUUUUUUUUGGGUCUCCUCCAUGAGCAAAAAUCACAACCCCAAAAAGCAAAUCCAGGAAACCCCUAUUGUCCCAAGGUGAAUUUUUUUCAGAUCUCCUCCAUGGCAUGAAUGAAAAUCAUGAACCCCAAAAACCCAACUCCAGAAAACUCCCACUGUCCCAAAUUGGAUUUUUCUCAGAUCUCCUCCACUCCAUGAGGGAAAAACCCAAGUCCAGGAAACCCCUGUUAUCUCCAAAUUGGAUUUUUUUUGGGUCUCCUCCAUGAGCAGAAAUCACAACCCCAAAAUCCCAACUCCAGAAAACUCCCAUUGUCCUAAAUUGGAUUUUUCUCAGAUCUCCUCCACUCCAUGAGGGAAAAACCCAAGUCCAGCAAACCCCUGUUAUCUCCAAAUU
This 1177-nucleotide long non-coding RNA is filed under the name Zonotrichia albicollis (white-throated sparrow). RNAcentral's name for it is "lncRNA (ENSZALG00000001476.1)". The record is from RNAcentral. Lineage: Eukaryota; Metazoa; Chordata; Aves; Passeriformes; Passerellidae.